CGUAGGCGGCUUAGCAAGUCAGAUGUGAAAGCCCCGGGCUUAACUCGGGAAUUGCAUCUGAAACUGCUUUGCUUGAGUCCUGGAGGGGGUAGUGGAAUUCCCAGUGUAGCGGUGAAAUGCGUAGAUAUUGGGAGGAACACCUGCGGCGAAGGCGGCUACCUGGACAGUGACUGACGCUGAGGCGCGAAAGCUAGGGGAGCGAACGGGAUUAGAUACCCCGGUAGUCCUAGCCGUAAACGAUGGGCACUUGGUGUUGGGGGUAUUGAGUCCCCCGGUGCCGGAGUUAACACGUUAAGUGCCCCGCCUGGGGAGUACGGUCGCAAGACUGAA
This 330-nucleotide ribosomal RNA is filed under the name uncultured bacterium. RNAcentral describes it as "bacterial SSU rRNA". It matches the Rfam family "Bacterial small subunit ribosomal RNA", at positions 570 to 898 of the family's 1533-position model. The record is from RNAcentral.